RNAcentral lists this ribosomal RNA (465 nucleotides) under Vreelandella stevensii. Its description in RNAcentral is "partial 16S ribosomal RNA". It matches the Rfam family "Bacterial small subunit ribosomal RNA", at positions 338 to 795 of the family's 1533-position model. The record is from RNAcentral. Lineage: Bacteria; Pseudomonadati; Pseudomonadota; Gammaproteobacteria; Oceanospirillales; Halomonadaceae.
CCUACGGGAGGCAGCAGUGGGGAAUAUUGGACAAUGGGCGAAAGCCUGAUCCAGCCAUGCCGCGUGUGUGAAGAAGGCCUUCGGGUUGUAAAGCACUUUCAGUGGGGAAGAAAGCCUUGGGGCUAAUACCCUCGAGGAAGGACAUCACCCACAGAAGAAGCACCGGCUAACUCCGUGCCAGCAGCCGCGGUAAUACGGAGGGUGCGAGCGUUAAUCGGAAUUACUGGGCGUAAAGCGCGCGUAGGCGGUCUGAUAAGCCGGUUGUGAAAGCCCCGGGCUCAACCUGGGAACGGCAUCCGGAACUGUCAGGCUAGAGUGCAGGAGAGGAAGGUAGGAUUCCCGGUGUAGCGGUGAAAUGCGUAGAGAUCGGGAGGAAUACCAGUGGCGAAGGCGGUCUUCUUGACUGACACUGACGCUGAGGUGCGAAAGCGUGGGUAGCAAACAGGAUUAGAUACCCUGGUAGUC